AGUACUCCGCGAUCGCCGCUAUGGAGGCCGGCAGGACUGCGGUGUUGCGCGUGAAGCGGAAGCGCAACGCGGAGCCCGCCGAGGCGCUCGUGCUGGCCUGUAAACGCCCCCGGAGCAGCGAGGUCGAGUCGGCGGCUCGGGAGACGCCAGAGGGCCAGGAGGCGGCGGCGGCGGAGAGAAAUGUCUUCCAGUUGGUUGCCACCGUGCGAUCCCAGGAGGAGCCAAUCCAGCAGCUUGUGCGGGCUGCCUUGCGCCCGUCCCGGAGCAGCCAGCUGCGUAUCCGCCGCGAUCUUCGUGCCUCGGUGCGCGAGGUCCGUAAAGAGGGCCGCUACAGGGUGGUCUCCAGCCACCGAUCCUCGGGAACCUCGAACAGUUUGGAGCCUCAGUGUGGGUCAGAAGCUGUCGGGGAUGCGGGCUUCCAGUUGUUGGACCUGGUCCACGAGGAGGAAAACCCAGAGGCUGCUGCCACCGACUGCCGCAAAACAUCUGAUCCAGAUGUGAUCCUCUGCAAUUCUGUAGAGUUGAUCCGUGAGAGGCUGACUGUAUCCGAGGAUGGAUCCCAAGUAAACCACCAGGAGGACCCAAAGCACAAUGACGACUAUGUAUAUGACAUUUACUAUAUGGAGAUGGCCCCUCCAGGGUGGAUUGAGAACAUCAUGUCCGUGCAGCCCUACAGCCAGGAAUGGGAGCUGAUGUUCAGGUAAAUGAUGAUGAGCAGUCAGAAGAUAUUUAUGAAGAUGAAGAUGAUGAAAACAGUGAAAAUAACUGGCGGAAUGAGUACCCGGAUGAAGAAAGCAGUGAUAGAGAUGAAGAUUCCAGAGGCUCUGAUGAAUACAACAGCCUCAGCGAGGAGGAAAGAAGCUGCGAGCGACUGAUGUGGAGCAAAUACCCUUUGGAUGUACAAAAGGAGUUUGACUAUGACAGCCCCCAUGGUCUGGAUUCAGAUUGAUGGUUUGCUGGUAUUUGUGAGAUUCUUCCAUGGGCCUUUAAGGCUCUGACUACAGAGUCAUCAUCUUAGGAUUCCUAACUGAACAUGUGGAAAGAAAAGCCUUUACCCCAGCACAGUGAGGACUUCCUUGUAAGUGAUAAGUGACGCCAAACACGCUGGGUCAUGUCUGUAAUUCCAGCAUUGGAGAGUUUGGGAGCCAAGAAGAGCACUGAGAAUACAAGGCCAGCCUUUAGACUAAACAGCCUGGGCAUUCUAUUUUUAAAAAGUGAUCUUACACUCUGGAAAAUAAAAUGAUGUAAAACCUCCAUCCCUGGUGGUUUUUCUGUCAUUUUACUUAUAUGCUCAGGGCUAAAGAAGCUGGUGGGAGGAGGGAGAGCCCGCUCCCAGUGAUGGAGAUGAUCUCUGCAAGGACAACAGUGACUCCCCCGCCUCAGGGCGGUCAUGUCUUUCCCCCCCCCCCCCCCCCGCCCCCUUUAGACUCUGAUAAUGGUUAUAAAGACUGCUAUCACCUUUGGCAGUGGUACCAAGGAACAGUAUGUAUGAAUGUGAUGAUCUUUAAUAAAAACUUAACUUUUUACACAGAA
RNA transcript from Mus musculus (house mouse), 1533 nucleotides. It is a transcript of the gene named solute carrier family 7, member 6 opposite strand, with no coding region annotated. The transcript is spliced from 5 exons. Lineage: Eukaryota; Metazoa; Chordata; Mammalia; Rodentia; Muridae. The record is from RefSeq and is marked validated.